AAACCGUUGAAAGGGAAGCGAAUGGAGUUAGCAAUUCGCCCUGCCAGAUUCAGUUGUUCGUGCUUCGCGACGUGCGCGCUCUCGAUCCGCAUGGACGAGACGUGUACGGAUGCGWUGCGCGGGCGGCGCACUUCUGGCGAGCGAGCGUCAGCGUCGGUUGUCGACGGGCGACAAAGACACGAGGAAGGUGAACCGGCCUUACGGCCGGUUGUUAAGCCUCGUGUUCGCAUAGCCCGACGGCGACCGUGGCUCUGCGACGCGUGCCUGGCUGGUGACUCGUACAAUCGGUCCGGCAUGUCGACCGUGGCGGACGGCACGCCUGUGCGCUCGAACUGCUGCCGGYCGAUCVAAUGAUGUUCACACACUACGCGUCGAGGAUGCUGACGGCCAUACGGCUCCAUCCVMCCCGUCUUGAAACACGGACCAAGGAGUCUAACAUGUGCGCGAGUCUCCGGGUGAUCGAAACCCGUGGGCACAAUGAAAGUAAAGAUCGUCCUAGACGAUUGAGGUGAGAAGCGAAUACCUCGGUAUUCGCGGCAUCAUCGACCGACCUAUUCUGCUCUCAGAAAGGUUUGAGUAAGAGCGUAU
RNAcentral lists this ribosomal RNA (588 nucleotides) under Thesea pyrrha. RNAcentral's name for it is "partial 28S ribosomal RNA". The record is from RNAcentral. Lineage: Eukaryota; Metazoa; Cnidaria; Anthozoa; Malacalcyonacea; Plexauridae.